RNAcentral lists this ribosomal RNA (290 nucleotides) under uncultured bacterium. Its description in RNAcentral is "partial 16S ribosomal RNA". It matches the Rfam family "Bacterial small subunit ribosomal RNA", at positions 337 to 619 of the family's 1533-position model. The record is from RNAcentral.
UCCUACGGGAGGCAGCAGUAAGGAAUUUUCGUCAAUGGGCGCAAGCCUGAACGAGCAAUGCCGCGUGAACGAGGAAGGUCUUCGGAUCGUAAAGUUCUGUUGAAGGGGAAAAAGAGCGGAGAGAGGAAAUGAACUCCGAUUGAUAUUACCCUUCGAGGAAGUCACGGCUAACUACGUGCCAGCAGCCGCGGUAAUACGUAGGUUGCGAGCGUUAUCCGGAAUGAUUGGGCGUAAAGGGUGCGUAGGUGGCCUGCUACGUCUCGAGUGAAAGCUACCUGCUCAACCGGUAC